AACGAACGCUGGCGGCAUGCCUAACACAUGCAAGUCGAACGACACCUUCGGGUCUAGCGGCGCACGGGUGCGUAACGCGGGGGAAGCUGGCCUUAGGUUCGGAAUAACUCCUUUAAAGGGGUGCUAAUACCGGAUAAUAUCCUCGGACCACACAUUCAUCGCCUUUGGAUGGGCCCGAGUUGGAUUAGCUGGUUGGGAGGGUAAAAGCCUAUCAAGGCGACGAUCCAUAGCUGGUCAGAGAGGAUGAGCAGCCACACUGGGGCGGGGAUGCGGUGCAGAAUCCUGCGGGAGGGAGGAAUGCGUGAUACAGGAAAAUGGGCGGAGGGAAGAAGGAGCUAGGGCGGGAAAGUGAUGUAGGCCGGAGAGAUGUAAAGCUCUUUUACCCGGGGUGAUAAUGACAGUACCGGGAGAAUAAGCUCCGGCUAACUACGUG
Molecule: ribosomal RNA, 433 nt
Filed under: uncultured bacterium
Lineage: Bacteria
Description: partial 16S ribosomal RNA
Rfam family: Bacterial small subunit ribosomal RNA
Source: RNAcentral